GCUUCGGAAGUAAGAAGGCGAACUGCUCAGUAACACGUAGCUAACCUACCCUUAAGUCAUGGAUACCCUUUGGGAAACUAAGGUUAAACCACGAUAGAAGAUUUGCCCAAAAGACUAAUCUUUGAAACUCGUGCUUAAGGAUGGGGCUGCGGUGGAUUAGGUUGUUGGCGGGGUAAUAGCCCACCAAGCCUAUGAUCCAUAAGGGCUCUUAGCGGAGAGGCCCUGAGAGGGAAUCUGAGACACUAUUCCCAGCCCCACGGGGUGCAGCAGUUAGGAAUAAUCUACAAUGCACGAAAGUGUGAUAGUUUGAAUCAAAGUGCUUCUCAUUCGAGAAGCUUUUGUGGAUGUAAAAAGUUCCACGAAUAAGGACUGGGUAAGACUAGUGCCAGCCGCCGCGGUAAUACUAGCGGUCCGAGUCGCAGCCAUUUUUAUUGGGUCUAAAACAUCCGUAGCUUGCUUGGUAAGUUCCUUGUGAAAUUCUAUGUCUUGAGCAUAGAGCGUGCAAGGAGUACUGCUAAGCUAGAGACUGGGAGACGUUAGAAGUACGUUUAAAGUAGCGGUUGAAUGUGUUAAUCUUAAACGGACUCACAACAGCGAAGGCAUCUAACGAGAACAGUUCUGACAGUCAGGGAUGAAAGCUAGGGGCGCAAACAGGAUUAGAUACCCUGGUAGUCCUAGCCGUAAACACUGCACACUAAACAUUAGUGUCUCUUCGAGGGGCAUUAGUGCUGUAGGGAAGCCGAAGAGUGUGCUACCUGGGAAGUAUAGUCGCAAGGCCGAAACUUAAAGGAAUUGGCGGGGAGACACUACAACGGGUGACGCGUGCGGUUUAAUCAGACUAUACGCUGAGAACCUCACCAAGGGCGACAGCAGGAUGAAGGUCAGUCUAAAGGGCUUACCUGACACGCUGAGAGGUGCCGCAUGGCCGACGUAAGCCUGUGUCGUGAGAUGACCUGUUAAAUCAGGUAACAGGCAAGACCCAUAUGUAUAUUUAAAUUUCUAUAUACAGAUUGCCUUGGAAACAAGGAUGAAAGUGUGGGCAAUGUCAGGUGUGUAAAGCCUGAAUCCUUUGGGCUACACGCGCGCGUCAAUGGCGGAUACAAUGAGUCGCGACUCCGAAAGGAGAAGCUAAUCCCUUAAAGUCCGUCCCAGUCCAGAUCGGGGUUUGCAACUCAGCCUCGUGACGUUGGAAUCCGUAGUAAUCGGGUG
Molecule: ribosomal RNA, 1209 nt
Filed under: metagenome
Description: bacterial SSU rRNA
Rfam family: Archaeal small subunit ribosomal RNA
Source: RNAcentral